CGCGUAGGAAACUACCCAGUAGUGGGGGACAACAGUUGGAAACGACUGCUAAUACCGCAUACGCUCUACGGAGGAAAGGGGGCUUCGGCUCUCGCUAUUGGAUGUGCCUGCGUGAGAUUAGCUAGUUGGUGGGGUAAAGGCCUACCAAGGCAACGAUCUCUAGCUGGUCUGAGAGGAUGAUCAGCCACACUGGGACUGAGACACGGCCCAGACUCCUACGGGAGGCAGCAGUGGGGAAUAUUGCACAAUGGGGGAAACCCUGAUGCAGCCAUGCCGCGUGUGUGAAGAAGGCCUUCGGUU
This 300-nucleotide ribosomal RNA is filed under the name uncultured Thalassolituus sp. RNAcentral's name for it is "bacterial SSU rRNA". It matches the Rfam family "Bacterial small subunit ribosomal RNA", at positions 114 to 423 of the family's 1533-position model. The record is from RNAcentral. Lineage: Bacteria; Pseudomonadati; Pseudomonadota; Gammaproteobacteria; Oceanospirillales; Oceanospirillaceae.